Molecule: ribosomal RNA, 481 nt
Filed under: uncultured bacterium
Lineage: Bacteria
Description: partial 16S ribosomal RNA
Rfam family: Bacterial small subunit ribosomal RNA
Source: RNAcentral
GACGAACGCUGGCGGCGUGCUUAACACAUGCAAGUCGAGCGAUGAAUUUUCUUCGGAAAUGGAUUAGCGGCGAACGGGUGAGGAACACGUGAAGAAUCUGCCCUCCACUUUGGGAUAACACAGGGAAACCUGUGCUAAUACCGAAUAUUGAAACAUAAGUGGCAUCACUGAGUUUUGAAAGAAUUUCGGUGGAGGAUGACUUCGCGGCCUAUCAGCUAGUUGGUGAGGUAAUGGCUCACCAAGGCAACGACGGGUAGCCGGCCCGAGAGGGCGACCGGCCACACUGGGACUGAGACACGGCCCAGACUCCUACGGGAGGCAGAAGUGGGGAAUAUUGGGCAAUGGAGGAAACUCUGACCCAGCGACGCCGCGUGCGGGAUGAAGGCCUUCGGGUUGUAAACCGCUUUCAGUAGGGAAGAAGCGAAAGUGACGGUACCUACAAAAGAAGCACCGGCUAACUAUGUGCCAGCAGCCGCCGUAA